RNAcentral lists this ribosomal RNA (976 nucleotides) under uncultured bacterium. RNAcentral describes it as "bacterial SSU rRNA". It matches the Rfam family "Bacterial small subunit ribosomal RNA", at positions 8 to 1017 of the family's 1533-position model. The record is from RNAcentral.
AGAGUUUGAUCAUGGCUCAGGACGAACGCUGGCGGCGCGCCUAAUACAUGCAAGUCGAGCGAGAAACUCGGGGCUUGCCCCGGGUGGACAGCGGCGAACGGGUGAGGAACACGUGAGAAACCUGCCCCGAAGACCGGGAUAACACCGGGAAACCGGUGCUAAUACCGGAUGCCCUCACCGGAUCGCAUGAUCCGGUGAGGAAAUGGAUUCCGCUUCGGGAUGGUCUCGCGGCCUAUCAGCUUGUUGGUGGGGUAACGGCCUACCAAGGCUUCGACGGGUAGCUGGUCUGAGAGGAUGUCCAGCCACACUGGGACUGAGACACGGCCCAGACUCCUACGGGAGGCAGCAGUAGGGAAUCUUGCGCAAUGGGCGAAAGCCUGACGCAGCGACGCCGCGUGCGGGAUGAAGGCCUUCGGGUUGUAAACCGCUUUCAGCAGGGACGAAAAUGACGGUACCUGCAGAAGAAGCCCCGGCCAACUACGUGCCAGCAGCCGCGGUAAUACGUAGGGGGCGAGCGUUGUCCGGAUUUAUUGGGCGUAAAGAGCUCGUAGGCGGUUCGGUUAGUCGGAUGUGAAAUCUCCACGCUCAACGUGGAGGCGCCAUCCGAUACUGCCGUGACUCGAGUCCGGUAGGGGAGUGUGGAAUUCCCGGUGUAGCGGUGAAAUGCGCAGAGAUCGGGAGGAACACCCGUAGCGAAAGCGGCACUCUGGGCCGGUACUGACGCUGAGAGCGAAAGCGUGGGGAGCGAACAGGAUUAGAUACCCUGGUAGUCACGCCGUAAACGUUGGGCACUAGGUGUGGGGCUCUAUCGACGGGUUCCGUGCCGUAGCUAACGCAUUAGUGCCCCGCCUGGGGAGUACGGCCGCAAGCUAAACUCAAAGAAUUGACGGGGGCCCGCACAAGCGCGAGCAUGUGCUAUUCGAUGCACGCGAGAACCUUACCUGGGUUGACUUGCAGAAAGCAUAGAGAAUGGGUC